UUGGGCAGUGUUCUUGGGGGCUCCCUGAAGCUUCGUGAGCUGAAAGUGCAAGGCCCCAGCUCUGCCAGGCAGCCAGCUUCCUCCCCGUCUGAGUGCAGCUGUCCCCACAAACAGGGACGUCGGGGAUCAGGGUCUCGAGUGGACCGCGAGUACAGGGUCUCAGUUGGAGGACCUUCCCGCCACCCGUGGCCGUCAGACUCACCCGCGAGAUGGUCGUUCCUGAUGCUCUCUUCAUGCUCAACCAUUGUCCUCCAGGGAUAUCCUCGAAUGGCCUUUCCAGGUACCAUGGCUUGGCCAGAGUACACCUACUACCCUCUGGCUCCCCUGGACACUAAAUAUUUGGCUACAUCAAGGCAA
Long non-coding RNA from Suricata suricatta (meerkat), 357 nucleotides. RefSeq lists it as uncharacterized. The record is from RefSeq and is a predicted model, not a curated record. The transcript is spliced from 3 exons. NCBI's taxonomy places the organism in Eukaryota, Metazoa, Chordata, Mammalia, Carnivora, Herpestidae.